GACGAACGCUGGCGGCGUGCCUAAUACAUGCAAGUAGAACGCUGAAGGAGGAGCUUGCGCUUCUGGAUGAGUUGCGAACGGGUGAGUAACGCGUAGGUAACCUGCCUGGUAGCGGGGGAUAACUAUUGGAAACGAUAGCUAAUACCGCAUAAGAGUAGAUGUUGCAUGACAUUUACUUAAAAGGUGCAAUUGCAUCACUACCAGAUGGACCUGCGUUGUAUUAGCUAGUUGGUGGGGUAACGGCUUACCAAGGCGACGAUACAUAGCCGACGGGAGAGGGGGAUCGGCCACACUGGGACUGAGACGCAGCCCAGACUCCUACGGGAGGCAGCAGUAGGGAAUCCUCGGCAAUGGACGGAAGUCUGACCGAGCAACGCGGCGUGAGUGAAGAAGGUUUUCGGAUCGUAAAGCUCUGUUGUAAGAGAAGAACGAGUGUGAGAGUGGAAAGUUCACACUGUGACGGUAUCUUACCAGAAAGGGACGGCUAACUACGUG
RNAcentral lists this ribosomal RNA (495 nucleotides) under uncultured bacterium. RNAcentral describes it as "partial 16S ribosomal RNA". It matches the Rfam family "Bacterial small subunit ribosomal RNA", at positions 28 to 507 of the family's 1533-position model. The record is from RNAcentral.